UGGGGAAUAUUGCACAAUGGGCGCAAGCCUGAUGCACCCAUGCCGCGUGUGUGAAGAAGGCCUUCGGGUUGUAAAGCACUUUCAGCGGGGAGGAAGGCGGUGAGGUUAAUAACCUCACCUAUUUACGUUACCCGCAGAAGAAGCACCGGCUAACUCCGUGCCAGCAGCCGCGGUAAUACGGAGGGUGCACGCGUUACUCGGAAUUACUGGGCGUAAAGCGCACGCAGGCGGUCUGUCAAGUCGGAUGUGAAAUCCCCGGGCUCAACCUGGGAACUGCAUUCGAAACUGGCAGGCUAGAGUCUUGUAGAGGGGGGUAGAAUUCCAGGUGUAGCGGUGAAAUGCGUAGAGAUCUGGAGGAAUACCGGUGGCGAAGGCGGCCCCCUGGACAAAGACUGACGCUCAGGUGCGAAAGCGUGGGGAGCAAACAGG
Molecule: ribosomal RNA, 429 nt
Filed under: Chloroflexota bacterium
Lineage: Bacteria; Bacillati; Chloroflexota
Description: Chloroflexi bacterium partial 16S ribosomal RNA
Rfam family: Bacterial small subunit ribosomal RNA
Source: RNAcentral